This 68-nucleotide transfer RNA is filed under the name Dictyoptera aurora. RNAcentral describes it as "tRNA-Arg". Lineage: Eukaryota; Metazoa; Arthropoda; Insecta; Coleoptera; Lycidae. The record is from RNAcentral.
AGAUAAGAAACGAAAAUCGUUCUUAAUUUCGACUUAAGCUUUGGGUGAUGCCUCCCCCCCCUUAUCUU